RNAcentral lists this ribosomal RNA (396 nucleotides) under uncultured bacterium. RNAcentral's name for it is "partial 16S ribosomal RNA". It matches the Rfam family "Bacterial small subunit ribosomal RNA", at positions 523 to 918 of the family's 1533-position model. The record is from RNAcentral.
AUACGUAGGUGACAAGCGUUAUCCGGAUUUACUGGGCGUAAAGGGCGCGUAGGCGGGUGGAUAAGUCAGGUGUGAAAGCUCCGGGCUCAACUUGGAAACUGCACUUGAAACUGUCUAUCUUGAGGUCAGGAGAGGAAAGUGGAAUUCCUAGUGUAGCGGUGAAAUGCGUAGAUAUUAGGAGGAACACCAGUGGCGAAGGCGGAUUGCUGGACAGCAACUGACGGUGAGGCGCGAAAGUGUGGGGAGCAAACAGGAUUAGAUACCCUGGUAGUCCACACUGUAAACGAUGAAUACUAGGUGUGCGGGGACUGACCCCCUGCGUGCCGGCGUUAACACAAUAAGUAUUCCACCUGGGGAGUACGAUCGCAAGGUUGAAACUCAAAGGAAUUGACGGGG